This 72-nucleotide transfer RNA is filed under the name bacterium. RNAcentral describes it as "tRNA-Val". It matches the Rfam family "tRNA". From Rfam's summary of the family: Transfer RNA (tRNA) molecules are approximately 80 nucleotides in length. Their secondary structure includes four short double-helical elements and three loops (D, anti-codon, and T loops). The record is from RNAcentral.
GGGCGGUUAGCUCAAUGGCAGAGCGUUCGCUUGACGUGCGAAAGGUUAUAGGUUCAAAUCCUAUACCGCCCA